GGUUGUAGCUCAGUGGUAGAGCACUUGCCUCGAAAGCUUGAGACCCUGGAUUCAAUCCUCAGCCCCA
Molecule: transfer RNA, 67 nt
Filed under: Marmota monax (woodchuck)
Lineage: Eukaryota; Metazoa; Chordata; Mammalia; Rodentia; Sciuridae
Description: tRNA.Ser
Rfam family: tRNA (bases 5-63)
About the family: Transfer RNA (tRNA) molecules are approximately 80 nucleotides in length. Their secondary structure includes four short double-helical elements and three loops (D, anti-codon, and T loops).
Source: RNAcentral